CCAGCUCACUGCUGAGCAGCCAUCAGUAUCCUGAACAUGGGUUGGUGAGGCUUGCACAGCUUUAUAAAAUCAGUCCCGCUUGGAAGCAGCGAUUGGCACACAGCCUUAGUGUUCAGUGUACAAUUAGAACAUUAAUUUUAUGUUUGCAUUAUGUUUCCUAACGAUAGACAAAACUGUGGACUAUCUUUUCUAUCUUCUGUCUUUACACUUCCUUCCACUCCAACACCAUGAAGAGCUGAUAAAUGGCGAUUAGUCUCCUUUACUGGGCUCCGCCGCUCCAGGCCUGGAGAACACAGCACCCCCUGCAGCGAGAUGAACGGUAUAGCCAAGCUGUCUCUUCACUCAGGACCGCAGACUAACACUGAAGAGGAGUUGUUAGUUCCGGCUCUUCCAGAGAAGACUGAUAUAGAGAGGGGUUAUGUGACUCCUCAGCAAGUGUACAACCUGCUAAAUGCUGAAGCUGGUGAGCCAGCACUUCACGACCCAUACUAUAUCCUCAUACUGGACUGCCGCCCUGCCGACAGGUAUAAGCAAAGUCACCUGGUGACAGCACGAGCAAGUGUGACGGUAAUUCACCCAGAACUAGGCUGUCUGAUAAGCUGCGUCCAGCUACAGGAGUUCUCCAUCAUUUUGCUUUACGCAGAAGAAGGACACAGUCCAGGUACCAGUCUCCUCAAAAACCAGC
This 685-nucleotide long non-coding RNA is filed under the name Astyanax mexicanus (Mexican tetra). Its description in RNAcentral is "lncRNA (ENSAMXG00005020436.1)". The record is from RNAcentral. Lineage: Eukaryota; Metazoa; Chordata; Actinopteri; Characiformes; Acestrorhamphidae.